Molecule: long non-coding RNA, 2698 nt
Organism: Myodes glareolus (Bank vole)
Lineage: Eukaryota; Metazoa; Chordata; Mammalia; Rodentia; Cricetidae
Source: RefSeq, a predicted model, not a curated record
GAAGGAGCUGCUCUCGCUACAGGAAGUUCAGCCACAUGCUCAGCGCCUUCGCACACCAGUCCUGCCCGUGCCCGCCCCCACACCAGACUCCUAGGCCCUCCCAGCCAUCCUCUGUCCCGCCUAAGCCACACAGGAAGGUCUCUGCCGUCGAUCCCAGGAGGCAUCUUGAGGGCCCAAUGCCAAGAGAUUUGGCCACUCGUGUCUCUUCAAGGCCAACUGGGUCCCUGCCCUGCUCAGGUCCAGGUCCCAAGCUGAGCAAACUGCCUCCUUCACCUCAUCCGUUUCCCCAGCAACCAACUCCUACUCAAAGUCCUCAUCCCGCCACCCUGCACAGCCCGGCUCAGAGAACAUACCCAGACUCUGACUGACCACCCAGAAGCUUAUCCCAAGCCCCACAAGUCCCCGACCUCAAGCAGGGGACUAUGUACUCCAGCAGGGAUGGAGCUUCAGAAGGAGGCUAGGGGAAACCUCUUAGGAAAACCGAUGGAGAGCAAAGCAGGCGCAGAUGCCCAGCGCUGUCAGAGAACCUUCACCGAUCAGCCACCUGACACAGCUCUCUGCUUCCAGAGCUGACAGGACAACUUGAUCCCAUUAUCCAGAUAAGGAAAUGGAAACCUGGAGUGGCUGGGCAAGCUGCCCAAGGUCAUUCAGCUAGUAAAGGGCACCAGGCAGCAGCAGCGCUCUAGGCGGCAGGCCACUCCCUAAAACUACACUGCCACUCCCUUCUGGAGAUAUGGGGCAAGCGGUGUGGCUCUCCGGAGCUGAUUUUCAAAGUUAUCGUUUUUUUUAGAACAAUCCAGACUGCAGUCUGGUUGCUGAGCCCCACAAAGGCAAACUUCCACCUGCCACCUCUUGUGAUGAUAUCUGGCCUGAACCCCAAUCAUCUCCACUCCCUCUAGCACCUGCUUCACUGACCAAACAUAGUAAUUACACGGCUUUGCUUCCAGCUUCCGAGGCGAGCCCAGGCAGCCCUUUGGCUCUGGCAGUGGUGAAUCUGAGGUCAUCCUGCCUUCACAGGACCGCGGUUCUGGGGCAUAGGACAACUACAGCCAAACAAGCACUCUAGGCUCCAGAAAGGCCUUAGAUCCUGUUCAAUGCAAGAUGGUGACAUUGUCCCUGUCCCUGCUAUUCAAGGCAAAAUGAUUGAACUCUCCUUCCUGAAAGGCCACCUCCUGGCAGGCUAGAGGAAUGCUGUCACCAGGGUGACAGCCCUAACCUCUGAACUCAGGACUUAGUACUGAAAUGAAGCAAAGUCAAGAUCUUGAUACACGGCCUAGAGAGAUGACUCAAUUGGUAAAGUACUUGGUGUGCUAACUAGGUAGACCUGAGCCUAAUUCCUAGUACCCAGGUAAAAAGUCGGGCAUGGCGGCAAUGCUUGUUGUGAUCUCAGCACUGAGGAGGCUGAGGAUCCCUAGGGCUCACUGACUGGCCAGCCCAGCUUAAUCAGCAGUCUUGGACCCUUGUGACAGUGCCUGCCAAUGGCUCCUGGGUUUGACCUCUGGCCUCCACAUGCAUGCACACCCACACCCACACAAACAGGCACAUAAGAUCUUGACAGAAGGAAUUCAAAACACUGCCACUGUUAUUAAUGCCAUCACCUUUUCCUUUCUUGCUCCUUCCCCUGAGGCUUGGGUAACUGUGUCCUUCUUGACACUGUAUUUUCAGAGAGGAAUAAAAGCACAGGCACAGUUUGGCACUGACCACACAGACAUCACUAGAGCUCUGUGGACAAGAUCAAAGAGCUCCCGGCCCAUGUGCAUAUGCCCACACAGGUGACUCAUCUCUCCAGGUCCCUUCCUCAGUGGCUUGUUUUCAAAACCAUACAAAAAAAACCAGAGUCAUUCUCCUUAGCCACUCUGCCAAAGUUCCAUCAAGUUUCUGUCGCCUGACAGGUCCUGGAUCUGAUGCUGGGCCCACAGAAAUAGACCAAGUCCAGCCCUGCCCCUAAUAAAGUCACCAUUUAGCAGAGACAAAUUCCCUCUACCCUAAUGUGCCCACUAAAAGCUUUUAGACACUUACUGUUGAAUCACUAUCAGGAUUCUCCCCAGCAGAACCAGCUGCCCACAGGCCCCAGGAGGGAGAGGAAGGGGUGCCUUCCAUCAGAAGUUCUGAGCCUGAUGGGAGCCCCUCUCCCCAAAGGCCCAAGUACCUACUUUAAGAAUCACCUUCUUCUCACUAAUGGAGGGAAGCAGCACAGAAAGAAACCUGAGCGAAGACGGGAAAGGCCACUCUCAAGGAAGUUCACGGGUAUUCUGUAGGCUCAGUUACCCACGAGGUGAGCCUUACAGGCCACGUGGCAAGGCUGCCUUCAACCUUCCAGACCAGCUCUAUGGCAGGUGUGUGAGGGCCUAAAGGUAGCCCCCACCGGCUCCUGUACAGAGAUUCAUCUCCCAGGCUUCUUGGAGAAGUAGUUGCUUUAUGCCAGCUUCCAUUUCUAGCCCAGAGUGUGCAGGCCAACAGAGAAGAAUGGAUUAAACAACAGAGACCUCUAUGUGGUUCAGAGAUGGCAUCUUGCACUGUCUUUCAGCAUGCAGGCCAAGAAACGGAUUCCCCGAGGAGUGAUGUAAAUUGCUCACAGCCGGGCAGAGAGCAGACCGAGCAGAGCAAGACAGAGAGUGCCCAGGGCUGGGUGGGGAAGACAUGCCAUCUGCCGCCCACUGCCGCCCACUGCCGCCCACUGCCGCCCACUGCCGCCCAC